Molecule: long non-coding RNA, 3416 nt
Organism: Rhea pennata
Lineage: Eukaryota; Metazoa; Chordata; Aves; Rheiformes; Rheidae
Exons: 5
Source: RefSeq, a predicted model, not a curated record
CUGCCAGGGGACGCGGCGCCGCGGGCCAGCCGCCCGGCGGGGCAGAGGCCGCCGCCCCCCGCCUCCCCCCGGCAGCCUCGGGGGCUGAGAGCAGACCUCUCCGCGUGCAGGCGGCAAGACGACAGGCGCCCGGCGGCAGCGACAAGCCACGGCAGCGGGCGCCAUUUGCCGGCACCUGGCGGUUGGGGCGCGGCUCCGCCCCACCCGGCGCGGCGCGAGCGCUGAGGCGGCGGCAGCGGCAGCGGCGCGACCGUUACCUCGGCGCGGGCUUGGGCUCCCCCGCCGGGGGCGGCGGGAAGCGCCGCGGAGCGCCCUGCGGAAAAGGGCUCUGGGUCUCGCGGAAAAGGCUUUUGUUACAUUUAUCUCAUACACGUGCAGAUCUGUGAGGGGGAAAAAAAAACAUUGCUGAAGACUUGAAGGACACUGCUGAAACAUGCUACUUCAGAAAAAUCUUGAGGCAAUUUGGAAUUCUGGCUCUGUGGAAUUGAAACCAAGCAGAAAAAGCACUGAUUAAACAAAUACCAUAUAGAGGAACCACCCGACAGAUACAACAUUACGUUUCAUUUGUGGAAGAGUCUGCAUAUUUCCAAUCCAAUCAUUCUGAAACAUACAUCUGGUCUGCAAUGACAGGCAGGCUUAUGCUUAUAAUUGGGAUCUGCUACAUUGGGUGCCAUACAAAUUCUUCACAUACAGCAAUUUCUGUAUGUGUUAUCACUAACAGUUUAUUCAACUGAUAGGAAAAAAAUCUCAUUUCUGGAACAGAAAAAAGAAUGUGUGUUCUGGAUUACAUUAACAGCAAUAAGCUAUCAAUUUACAGCUAUUUCACUUAUUUAUGGAGAAAACAAAAUCUAUGAAAUUCCUGAGAACAUGUAAGUUUUCAGUAAUGCCUGAAAUAUUUCAAUAGACUUCUCGUGAUACGUAAAAUUUUCUUUAAAGUUCAACUUUCAGACCAAACAUUGCCAUGCAGUCUCAAAUCAUUUUACAAUUCCUAUAUAAUUACAAAUGCAUAUCAAGCAAAAAUCGCAAACCAACACACAAAAAAGGCAAAGAAUAUUUAUCCAAUAUAUUUAGUAGAUGAAGUACACAUAUACAGUGUUUCAGCAAAAAUUGCUAAAAACUCAACCCCACGCAGAGAAAAAUAAAAAUGUGACAGCUAUCCCUGGAGCCUCUAAACAACGUUCAGAAACUGCACCUGGCUGAGCAGCACAGACUGGGCUGCUUGCGAAGCCAGCUGCUCCGCAGUAAGACCUCACCCUGAGAGCGCUUCACAGGAAGAGUCUCCUUCCCCUGAGGAGGUCGACAUGGGCGCACUGCAUCUUUUGUAAAGGAUGCUAAAUGAAUACUAGCCUUUUCACAAGAUGUUUUCUAAAUGUGAUACCGAAUGUAAACGCCUUCGUAGCUAAAACAAGGGGAUCAAGAGCGAUCUAAAGUGAAGCCUCCCAUUCACUAUGCCCCAUCAAAAGUUAAUCUCAGCAACACACUGUAGCCAACUCCCAGCACUGACUAUGAAAUCUGUCUCUGGACUUUGGACUAAAACUUUCAAGAACAGAGGAAAGUUAGGCUCUGUAAGUGACAUUUGGAGAUGUCUGCCUCAUUUUCAGAAUUGUGUUUUCUUUGAGGUCAUGAGGAACUGAUCACUACUCACAAUUUUUUUGAGGACACCAAAGUGUUCUGUUUCAAUCUACUUACUUUUACUGGAUUUAAAAUCAGUCUGCACAGGAGUCAAAUGAAAUCUUUCUCACCAUGUAUAAAAUGUUAAUUUUUUUUUUUAAAGAACGUAAGGUUUAAAAACCUAACUUAGAAAACAAAAUAAAGCCACAAUUGUGCUGUUUUCCUUUUCAAUUAUGCUAUUUUGCCUGUUCCUUUUCAAUCAUGAAAACAACAUAACCAGUUUCACUGAAAUCUGUCUUCUCAAAUGCCUAUGCAGUUGCCUGUCAGCAACAGUAUUUUGAGAUUAACCUAAGUAUUCAAAUUUUCACUUGCAAUAGCCCAAUAUAUGCCUGCACAACACACAAAGGCAGAUGCAGAGAUGCAUCUGAUCUGCCUUUUUGACUCAAUAAACUUAGGGGAUAGGUGCACUUCAAUUAUUUGUUAUAAUUGAAAUAUUAAACAGCUUUUAUCCUAUUGAUCUUACUUAGUAUAGCAACUGAAAAUACUCAAAAUAUCAGUAACAUCUAAUAAAAAGGGCAAACUUACACGAAAUAUUUUCUUGAAAGAUGAGGUUUUUUUUGUGUGCCCUUAGCAGGCUUUAGGUGCAGAAGAUAUGGAUAUACUCACUACUGUGUAAAGGUAGCAUUUUGAUUUUCUCUCCCCAGCCACCAUAUUGAAAACAAUUAAGUUUUCUUGUUCCUAUUUUAACCAGUCCCAUCCACAUCCACUAAUAUUUCUGAUUGUUUCUAAUUUACAAGUCAGGUUUUCAGAUUGUAAUGUAAAACAAUAGUGUAUGUACACAGUGAAACAAGGUGUAAAUAGGUGCUUCCACAUCAGUGCUAUUUGGAGGGAAUAGUUUGGUUACGUACCUUUACUUGAUCUGGAUGUCUGUCUGCAAAGGAAGCCAAUUCUGAGCACCACUGUGAUAUCAUGUCAAAUGCUGGCACUGGCCAAUCGAGGCAAGAGGCACUAGUGAACUGAUCGGAUGACUGAAAAGAUGGUAAGAGACCCAGGCAGCUUGCAAGAACUGUGAAUUCCUCAUCUUCCUUUUAGAUAUGAAACCAGAGAGUUUCAGAUUAGUACCUAUGCUUGGAAUUCUUAAUAUCUUUUAUUUUAAAAUGUGUCUAUUCUGAUAACAACAACACAGAUAGCCUAACAAAAUGAUGUUAAAGUAUGUUCACAGACAAAGAAAAGCUUCUGUUUUUCCAAAGCAUAGCAAGUUGGAUCCUCAAAACAGCAGAAAACUGGAGAGAAAAACAAACAAAAUAAAAAUAAAAAUCCUGCUUAGCUUCCUGCUGAGUCUCCCAAACUGGCUCAUAGCUAUACUAUCGAAGAGCCAAUUUUGAUGCAAGCUGGUCGGUGAGCUGGGCUGCAGCUGCAUGAGCUUAAAGCAGCUGAAAACACCAUGGAACUUGAUGUAAUUUUCUGCUGAUACAAUAUCUCUGAGAGUAAAGCCCAUAUGUUAAUGGAAAUUAAGCAAACUCAAGACUGAAGUCCAGUCUGUGUGGGAAUUAUAUCAUCUCCACAAAUGCAGGACAAGUUUUAAAACUAUGUUGACAUUUUAUGAGACAAGCAGACAACUAGCAGUGACCUGAUAAAGCAAGCAUGUAUUUGCUGUGUUUUAAGAAUGUCUUAUCAUUUUUUCAGGGCAGUUGCCCUGAAAAUAAAUGUAUAGAAGAGAAACAAUGCUGCAAUAUACAACUAAGAAAAACCUUAUGAGAGAAAAUAUGUACCAUGGUGGUGGUGGGGGGGGGACCUUACAUUUU